This 440-nucleotide ribosomal RNA is filed under the name uncultured bacterium. RNAcentral's name for it is "bacterial SSU rRNA". It matches the Rfam family "Bacterial small subunit ribosomal RNA", at positions 338 to 795 of the family's 1533-position model. The record is from RNAcentral.
CCUACGGGCCGCAGCAGUGGGGAAUCUUAGACAAUGGGGGCAACCCUGAUCUAGCCAUGCCGCGUGAGUGAUGAAGGCCUUAGGGUUGUAAAGCUCUUUCAGCUGGGAAGAUAAUGACGGUACCAGCAGAAGAAGCCCCGGCUAACUCCGUGCCAGCAGCCGCGGUAAUACGGAGGGGGCUAGCGUUGUUCGGAAUUACUGGGCGUAAAGUGCACGUAGGCGGAUUGAAAAGUUGGGGGUGAAAUCCCGGGGCUCAACCCCGGAACUGCCUCCAAAACUGUCAGUCUUGAGGUCGAGAGAGGUGAGUGGAAUUCCGAGUGUAGAGGUGAAAUUCGUAGAUAUUCGGAGGAACACCAGUGGCGAAGGCGGCUCACUGGCUCGAUACUGACGCUGAGGUGCGAAAGCGUGGGGAGCAAACAGGAUUAGAUACCCGUGUAGUC